AUACUUUCUCAGCUUUUUGGCUAAGAUCAAAUGUAGUAUCUGUUCUUACUAGUAUAAUAUCUAAUAUGUUCUCCAUCCAAGACAAUAUAUUAAAUGGUUUUUUGGAAAAAGCAGGUGGAAUAGGAGUUUGCUCUGUCCACUCCAUGCAUUGACCUGGUAUUGCAGUACCUCUAGGAAUGGUGCACCCCUC
RNAcentral lists this small nuclear RNA (190 nucleotides) under Castor canadensis (American beaver). Its description in RNAcentral is "U2 spliceosomal RNA (ENSCCNG00000012842.1)". It matches the Rfam family "U2 spliceosomal RNA". Rfam says of the family: U2 is a small nuclear RNA (snRNA) component of the spliceosome (involved in pre-mRNA splicing). Complementary binding between U2 snRNA (in an area lying towards the 5' end but 3' to hairpin I) and the branchpoint sequence (BPS) of the intron results the bulging out of an unpaired adenosine, on the BPS, which initiates a nucleophilic attack at the intronic 5' splice site, thus starting the first of two transesterification reactions that mediate splicing. The record is from Rfam by way of RNAcentral. Lineage: Eukaryota; Metazoa; Chordata; Mammalia; Rodentia; Castoridae.